GUGGGGAAUCUUAGACAAUGGGCGCAAGCCUGAUCUAGCCAUGCCGCGUGAGUGAUGAAGGCCCUAGGGUUGUAAAGCUCUUUCAGCUGGGAAGAUAAUGACGGUACCAGCAGAAGAAGCCCCGGCUAACUCCGUGCCAGCAGCCGCGGUAAUACGGAGGGGGCUAGCGUUGUUCGGAAUUACUGGGCGUAAAGCGCGCGUAGGCGGACUGAAAAGUUGGGGGUGAAAUCCCGGGGCUCAACCUCGGAACUGCCUUCAAAACUGUCAGUCUGGAGUUCGAGAGAGGUGAGUGGAAUUCCGAGUGUAGAGGUGAAAUUCGUAGAUAUUCGGAGGAACACCAGUGGCGAAGGCGGCUCACUGGCCCAAUACUGACGCUGAGGCGCGAAAGCGUGGGGAGCAAACAGGAUUAGAAACCCUUGUAGUCC
RNAcentral lists this ribosomal RNA (425 nucleotides) under uncultured bacterium. RNAcentral's name for it is "partial 16S ribosomal RNA". It matches the Rfam family "Bacterial small subunit ribosomal RNA", at positions 354 to 796 of the family's 1533-position model. The record is from RNAcentral.